Molecule: ribosomal RNA, 253 nt
Filed under: uncultured bacterium
Lineage: Bacteria
Description: partial 16S ribosomal RNA
Rfam family: Bacterial small subunit ribosomal RNA
Source: RNAcentral
UACGUAGGGUGCAAGCGUUGUCCGGAAUCAUUGGGCGUAAAGAGCGUGUAGGCGGCCCGGUAAGUCCGCUGUGAAAGUCCAGGGCUCAACCCUGGGAUGGCGGUGGAUACUGUCGGGCUCGAGUCCGGAAGAGGAGUGUGGAAUUCCUGGUGUAGCGGUGAAAUGCGCAGAUAUCAGGAGGAACACCAAUGGCGAAGGCAGCACUCUGGGACGUGACUGACGCUGAGACGCGAAAGCGUGGGGAGCAAACAGG